RNAcentral lists this microRNA precursor (203 nucleotides) under Oryza sativa Indica Group (long-grained rice). Its description in RNAcentral is "MIR812 microRNA precursor family". It matches the Rfam family "MIR812 microRNA precursor family". The record is from Rfam by way of RNAcentral. Lineage: Eukaryota; Viridiplantae; Streptophyta; Magnoliopsida; Poales; Poaceae.
UAUAAGGGAGUUUAAGUUUUUACUUGCAACGUUUGACCACUCGUCUUAUUUAAAUUUUUUUAAAAUUAUUAAUUAUUUUAUUUGUGACUUAAUUUAUUAUCUACAGUACUUUAAACACAACUUUUUAUUUUUUAUAUUUGCAGAAAAAAUUUGAAUAAAACGAGUGGUCAAACGUUGUAAGCAAAAACUGAAAAUCCCUUAUA